This 497-nucleotide ribosomal RNA is filed under the name uncultured bacterium. RNAcentral describes it as "partial 16S ribosomal RNA". It matches the Rfam family "Bacterial small subunit ribosomal RNA", at positions 28 to 507 of the family's 1533-position model. The record is from RNAcentral.
GACGAACGCUGGCGGCGUGCCUAAUACAUGCAAGUUGAGCGCUGAAGGUUGGUACUUGUACCAACUGGAUGAGCAGCGAACGGGUGAGUAACGCGUGGGGAAUCUGCCUUUGAGCGGGGGACAACAUUUGGAAACGAAUGCUAAUACCGCAUAAAAACUUUAAACACAAGUUUUAAGUUUGAAAGAUGCAAUUGCAUCACUCAAAGAUGAUCCCGCGUUGUAUCAGCUAGUUGGUGAGGUAAAGGCUCACCAAGGCGAUGAUACAUAGCCGACCUGAGAGGGUGAUCGGCCACAUUGGGACUGAGACACGGCCCAAACUCCUACGGGAGGCAGCAGUAGGGAAUCUUCGGCAAUGGACGAAAGUCUGACCGAGCAACGCCGCGUGAGUGAAGAAGGUUUUCGGAUCGUAAAACUCUGUUGGUAGAGAAGAACGUUGGUGAGAGUGGAAAGCUCAUCAAGUGACGGUAACUACCCAGAAAGGGACGGCUAACUACGUG